RNAcentral lists this ribosomal RNA (1493 nucleotides) under Trichoramalina crinita. RNAcentral describes it as "partial large subunit ribosomal RNA". Lineage: Eukaryota; Fungi; Ascomycota; Lecanoromycetes; Lecanorales; Ramalinaceae. The record is from RNAcentral.
CACCGGGAUUGCCCCAGUAACGGCGAGUGAAGCGGCAGCAGCUCAAAUUUGAAAUCUGGCUCCUCGGGGGGUCCGAGUUGUAAUUUGUAGAGGAUGCUUCGGGUGCGGCACCGGUCUAAGUCCCUUGGAACAGGGCGUCAUAGAGGGUGAGGAUCCCGUAUGUGACCGGCGACCAAAGCCCAUGUGAAGCUCCUUCGACGAGUCGAGUUGUUUGGGAAUGCAGCUCAAAAUGGGUGGUAAAUUUCAUCUAAAGCUAAAUACCGGCCAGAGACCGAUAGCGCACAAGUAGAGUGAUCGAAAGAUGAAAAGCACUUUGGAAAGAGAGUCAAAAAGUACGUGAAAUUGUUGAAAGGGAAGCGCUUGUAACCAGACCUGCCGUCGGGGGCUCCGCGGGCAUUCUUGCCCGUCCAUACCCCCGCGAUCAGGCCAGCAUCGGUUUGGGCGGCCGGAUAAAGACUCGAGGAAUGUAGCUUCGCUUCGGGGAAGUGUUAUAGCCUCUUGUGCAAUACGGCCAGCCCGGACCGAGGACCGCGCUUCGGCUAGGAUGCUGGCGUAAUGGUUGCAAGCGACCCGUCUUGAAACACGGACCAAGGAGUCUAACAUCUAUGCGAGUGUUUGGGUGUCAACCCCAUGCGCGGAAUGAAAGUGAACGGAGGUGGGAACCCUCAAGGGCGCACCAUCGACCGAUCCGGAAGUUUACGGAUGGAUUUGAGUAUGAGCAUACCUGUUGGGACCCGAAAGAUGGUGAACUAUGCCUGAAUAGGGUGAAGCCAGAGGAAACUCUGGUGGAGGCUCGCAGCGGUUCUGACGUGCAAAUCGAUCGUCAAAUUUGGGUAUAGGGGCGAAAGACUAAUCGAACCAUCUAGUAGCUGGUUCCUGCCGAAGUUUCCCUCAGGAUAGCAGUAACGUUUUCAGUUUUAUGAGGUAAAGCGAAUGAUUAGAGGUCUUGGGGAUGGAAACAUCCUUAACCUAUUCUCAAACUUUAAAUAUGUAAGAAGUCCUUGUUACUUAGUUGAACGUGGACAUUUGAAUGCACCGUUACUAGUGGGCCAUUUUUGGUAAGCAGAACUGGCGAUGCGGGAUGAACCGAACGUGGGGUUAAGGUGCCGGAAUGUACGCUCAUCAGACACCACUAGGGAUCCAGAGUGUGGUGUCAAUUUCGCCCCAGAGCUUCAAGCUUAGGGUUCAGUCUUUCAAUAAAGGCAAGGUCUUUGACCUNUUAGGGGCCCGCGGUCGUUUAACGAUCGCCURCCCUUCGCCGUCCCUUUAGUGGGGCAGCUCACAGAUCAAGCAAAGNCCGGCGGCAUCUUGCNGUNGGAGAUAUGAUCGGCCCCCGGAGGUCCACUCCGGGGAGCAAGUGCAAAAGGUGUUGAUUCAUCUAGACAGCCGGACGGUGGCCAUGGAAGUCGGAAUCCGCUAAGGAGUGUGUAACAACUCACCGGCCUGAAUGAAUCAGCCCUGAAAAUGGAUGGCGCUCAAGCGUGCUACCCAUA